CAGUAGCCGCGGGAAUACGGAGGGUGCAAGCGUUAUCCGGAUUUAUUGGGUUUAAAGGGUCCGUAGGCGGAUCUGUAAGUCAGUGGUGAAAUCUCACAGCUUAACUGUGAAACUGCCAUUGAUACUGCAGGUCUUGAGUAAAUUUGAAGUGGCUGGAAUAAGUAGUGUAGCGGUGAAAUGCAUAGAUAUUACUUAUAACACCAAUUGCGAAGGCAGGUCACUAAGAUUUAACUGACGCUGAUGGACGAAAGCGUGGGGAGCGAACAGGAUUAGAUACCCCAGUAGUCCCUGUCUCUUAUAC
This 301-nucleotide ribosomal RNA is filed under the name uncultured bacterium. Its description in RNAcentral is "partial 16S ribosomal RNA". It matches the Rfam family "Bacterial small subunit ribosomal RNA", at positions 509 to 807 of the family's 1533-position model. The record is from RNAcentral.